Molecule: ribosomal RNA, 458 nt
Filed under: uncultured bacterium
Lineage: Bacteria
Description: bacterial SSU rRNA
Rfam family: Bacterial small subunit ribosomal RNA
Source: RNAcentral
UACGGGGAGGCAGCAGUGGGGAAUAUUGCACAAUGGGCGAAAGCCUGAUGCAGCUAUGCCGCGUGUAUGAAGAAGGCCUUAGGGUUGUAAAGUACUUUCAUCGGGGAGGAAAAAACAAAACUAAUAAUUUUAUUUCUUGACGUUACCCGAAAAAGAAGCACCGGCUAACUCCGUGCCAGCAGCCGCGGUAAUACGGAGGGUGCUAGCGUUAAUCAGAAUUACUGGGCGUAAAGAGCACGUAGGUGGUUUUUUUAAGUCAGAUGUGAAAUCCCUGGGCUUAACCUAGGAACUGCAUUUUGAAACUGAAAUACUAGAGUAUCGUAGAGGGAGGUAGAAUUCUAGGUGUAGCGGUGAAAUGCGUAGAUAUCUGGAGGAAUACCUGUGGCGAAAGCGGCCUCCUAAACGAAUACUGACACUGAGGUGCGAAAGCGUGGGGAGCAAACGAGGGAUUAGAUACC